AGUUUGAUCUUGGCUCAGGAUGAACGCUAGCGGCAGGCUUAACACAUGCAAGUCGAGGGGCAGCGCGUUGGUAGCAAUACCGAUGGCGGCGACCGGCGCAAGGGUGCGUAACACGUGAGUAACAUGCCCGUUACAGAGGGAUAAGCGAUGGAAACGUCGUCUAAUACCUCAUGAGGUUUAAGGGAGGCAUCUUUUUUAGAUCAAAUUUACGGAGGUAACGGAUUGGCUCGCGGGACAUUAGCUAGAUGGUGAGGUAACGGCUCACCAUGGCGACGAUGUCUAGGGGUUCUGAGAGGAAGGUCCCCCACAUUGGAACUGAGACACGGUCCAAACUCCUACGGGAGGCAGCAGUGAGGAAUAUUGGACAAUGGUCGGAAGACUGAUCCAGCCAUGCCGCGUGAAGGAAGGCGGUCCUAUGGAUUGUAAACUUCUUUUGUACGGGAGCAAUAAGACAAUCGCGAUUGUCGAUGAGAGUACCGUACGAAUAAGCAUCGGCUAACUCCGUGCCAGCAGCCGCGGUAAUACGGAGGAUGCGAGCGUUAUCCGGAUUUAUUGGGUUUAAAGGGUGCGUAGGCGGACUAUUAAGUCAGCGGUGAAAAGUUAAGGCUAAACCUUAAUCGUGCCGUUGAAACUGGUAGACUAGGAUGCGGAUGAUGUAACAGGAAUGUGUAGUGUAGCGGUGAAAUGCAUAGAUAUUACACAGAACACCAAUUGCGAAGGCAUGUUACAAAGCCGCGAUUGACGCUGAGGCACGAAAGUGCGGGGAUCAAACAGGAUUAGAUACCCUGGUAGUCCGCACAGUAAACGAUGAUAACUAGCUGUUGGCGAUAGAAUGUCAGUGGCGGAGCGAAAGCGAUAAGUUAUCCACCUGGGGAGUACGACCGCAAGGUUGAAACUCAAAGGAAUUGACGGGGGCCCGCACAAGCGGAGGAACAUGUGGUUUAAUUCGAUGAUACGCGAGGAACCUUACCCGGGCUCGAACGGCAGAUGAACGACACAGAGAUGUGAAGGUCAGCAAUGACAUCUGUCGAGGUGCUGCAUGGUUGUCGUCAGCUCGUGCCGUGAGGUGUCGGCUUAAGUGCCAUAACGAGCGCAACCCUUGUUGUCAGUUACCAGCGGGUAGAGCCGGGGACUCUGACGAGACUGCCACCGUAAGGUGAGAGGAAGGGGGGGAUGACGUCAAAUCAGCACGGCCCUUACGUCCGGGGCGACACACGUGUUACAAUGGUGGGUACAGAGGGUAUCGACAUAGUGAUAUGGAGGGAAUCUCAAAAACCCAUCUCAGUUCGGAUCGUAGUCUGCAACUCGACUACGUGAAGUUGGAUUCGCUAGUAAUCGCGCAUCAGCCAUGGCGCGGUGAAUACGUUCCCGGGCCUUGUACACACCGCCCGUCAAGCCAUGGAAGCUGGGGGUGCUUGAAGUUCGUGACCGAGAGGAGCGACCUAGGGCAAAACUAGUAACUGGGGCUAAGUCGUAACAAGGUAGCCGUACCGGAAGGUGUGGCUGGAACACCUCCUU
RNAcentral lists this ribosomal RNA (1518 nucleotides) under uncultured rumen bacterium. RNAcentral's name for it is "bacterial SSU rRNA". It matches the Rfam family "Bacterial small subunit ribosomal RNA". The record is from RNAcentral.